Vicia villosa (hairy vetch) is the source of this 1377-nucleotide long non-coding RNA. RefSeq lists it as uncharacterized. Lineage: Eukaryota; Viridiplantae; Streptophyta; Magnoliopsida; Fabales; Fabaceae. The transcript has 5 exons. The record is from RefSeq and is a predicted model, not a curated record.
UACAAUAUUUCACACAACCUCAUUUCAUCUCUCUCUCUCUCUCUCUCUCUCUCUCUCUCAAACCUUCAACUCUUUUCCCAUCAAACCCUAAUAUCGCCGCCACCACCUUUCUCCCUCGUCUUUGUUUCUCCUUCCCCUGCUACUCCUUUCUCCGUUUAUAACUUCAAUCACAUCUUUCUCCGUUUCAGUUUGAUAUGUUUUCUAAAAAAUGUAUGAUGAAUAAUGACAGUUUGUCUCUUCUUUCAGAACACAACUUACCAAGGCAUAUAGACUGCUAAUGUUCUUUUUGAAGUUUUAAAGGCUGUUAACAUGACCCAAUCUAUGGAAGUUGAUGGAGAGUAGACUUUGGAGACACGAGAUAAAAUUGGUGAAAAGAUGGAGAUCAUAGUCCCUUUCAAUGUUCUUCCGCUCGAUCCUGAUAGUGCAAAUCAAGUGAUAAUGAGAUUUCCCGAGAUCCAAGCUGCUGUAUUUUCUCUUCAUAACACUACAGGUAUCUAUACACAUGGGUGAGAGAAGUGGCUCAAAAGAUUUCCCUUCAAGCAUUAUGAGAUGCUUCAGCCACCGACACAGUUGUUUGAUCCCUUAAUUUUGGUGUUUUCAUUCCGGAUGUUUUCAAAUUUAUGCAAACAGAGAGUCUUGGUGGAAGUGUUUUAUGGAAUGGUAGAAGUGUUUUAUGGAAUGGUAGAAGUACCGGGGCAAGACCAAAGAAUACAAGUUUAGAUUGUUGGUAUGAGAAUGUUACAAAUUUGAGUUUACCGAUUUAUAAGAGGCUGGUAGCUUUAGCUUUAAUGAGCUCUUCCAAAUUUUCCACCUCUGCAACAACCCGCAAGUCGGAUAAGACUGGUGAUUUAGUCUUAACUAGCUUCUCAUUCAUGACAGUGAAAACACGCAUAUCACCUGACCAAGAUAAUACAUAGCUCAAGUAAUGACACAAACUACAAAUUUUGUGGAUCAGAAUGAUUGAAAUUAUUCAUGAGGGAGUUAAUAACAGAAUUGCGUAGAGUGUGAGUUCCAAGCACAGUCCUAAUUGCAUUUUCUGUCAGAAUUGCGAAGAGCGUGAGUUCCAAACAGAUGCGGUGCAUGUUUUGGAAUUCUUGAACUGUUGAGAAGGUUACUUGUAAGAGUAUGAGAUGAGGGAACAAUGCUUUGGUUCAAUGCGUAUGAUGUUUCGUCUUGGUUACCACUAGCAAAUAGACAAGAAAUUAUUGCUGGUUGUCAUGCUUUCUAUGCAAAACAUAUUUUCCUGGCUUAAAUCAACAUAAGGUUUUUAUCUCCUUUUAGACAAGUAAGAAGCAUCUUUGUGGAAUUUGUUUACAGAGCUGUGGCCAUACAGAACUUAGAAGCAUCUAUUAUAGCAGUAAUUAUAAUUUUGUCUUA